Molecule: non-coding RNA, 254 nt
Organism: Cinara cedri
Lineage: Eukaryota; Metazoa; Arthropoda; Insecta; Hemiptera; Aphididae
Source: the annotation of a GenBank genome assembly
CGCCGAGCCGCGGGACGGCUAAUUUUACAUAAUAAACAAAACAAAACUACCUGCAACAAAACGGUAUAAUGAAACAUGUUAGGUACACGAUAAUCGUACACGGUUCGCGAUGUUAAAGUCGUUACAGUAUAGAGGGGCAAUACCAUAGUACACAUUACGUAUAUGAUAGUAUUAAGGGGCGUGCGGAGCGCGUUAACCCGUUCGAUUAGAUCGCGGAAAUGUCACGCGCGCGUUCGAACGUCUGGAAAGUUUCG